Molecule: ribosomal RNA, 758 nt
Filed under: uncultured Acidobacteriota bacterium
Lineage: Bacteria; Pseudomonadati; Acidobacteriota
Description: bacterial SSU rRNA
Rfam family: Bacterial small subunit ribosomal RNA
Source: RNAcentral
CGCCAAUCUACCCAAAACUGGUGAAUAGCCCUCCGAAAGGAGGAUUAAUACACCGUAACCUAUUGAAGUGGCAUCACUUUAUUAGUAUAGCUCCGGCGGUUUUGGAUGAGCGUGCGGCUGAUUAGAUAGUUGGCGGGGUAACGGCCCACCAAGUCUGCGAUCAGUAACUGGUGUGAGAGCACGACCAGUCACACGGGCACUGAGACACGGGCCCGACUCCUACGGGAGGCAGCAGUGGGGAAUUGUUCGCAAUGGGCGCAAGCCUGACGACGCAACGCCGCGUGGAGGAUGAAGAUCUUCGGGUCGUAAACUCCUGUCGAGCGGGACGAACAUCUUCCGGGGGAAUAUCCCGGAGGGCUGACGGUACCGCUAAAGGAAGCCCCGGCUAACUCCGUGCCAGCAGCCGCGGUAAUACGGGGGGGGCAAGCGUUGUUCGGAAUUACUGGGCGUAAAGGGCUCGUAGGCGGCGCGCUAAGUCAGACGUGAAAUCCCUCGGCUCAACCGAGGAACUGCGUCUGAGACUGGCGGGCUUGAAUCCGGGAGAGGGAUGCAGAAUUCCAGGUGUAGCGGUGAAAUGCGUAGAUAUCUGGAGGAAUACCGGUGGCGAAGGCGGCAUCCUGGACCGGCAUUGACGCUGAGGAGCGAAAGCCAGGGGAGCAAACGGGAUUAGAUACCCCGGUAGUCCUGGCCCUAAACGAUGAAUGCUGGGUGUAACGGGUAUCGAUCCCUGUUGUGCCGAAGCUAACGCAUUAAGCAUC